GUGAUGCUUUUCUGGUUAUACCUUCACUUCGUUACAUUCGUAUCUGCUUCUCUUCAAAGCCUUGACUCUUCUGGUUACAGCAAGGUUGUUUUUUUCAUCAGACUGAGACGAGCAGGUUUGUCAGAGUACUCUUGAUUAUGGGUCUUGCAAGACUUUUCCCUCUUAAGACAGUCUACUUGAUUUUUUUCCUAAGACAGUAUGAAUACUGACAAAGAUUCUUCUACUUAAUGUUUCCUUUGAUACCCUAAUUUUCAUCUUUGACCUUCAUAUCUCUUCCUAUUUCUCCUUCCCCUCUGUAUUUUUUAUUCCAUUGGGAAAUGGUAGAUGCUGUUGUUUAUACAAAGCUUAAAGUAUUCUUAAAUAAAAAUGUUAGAAAGGCAGAUUAAUUUAUUUGACUUACAUUUUGGGAGGUAGUUUGAAGGUAUUCCUCUCUAAAAUAUCCAGAUAAAACUUAGUUUAAUUUAGUGAAAAUAAAUCUCACUAAACUGAAGACAUAGUAUUCUGUUUCUCCAGCAGACAAAGAUUUAAGAAGACUCAAGUAGGGAAAGCUCUCCUCAUUUCCAGAGGAAAAUUAAUUCCAAAGAGGACUUAAGUGCUAAUGAUUACCAAUAUAUUUCAUGGAGAGCUGUGCUUUGCAAGGAUAUCUUAUCUAAGGUGAGCUAGAUUGCAUUUGGCUGGAUUCGGAUGAUGAGAAUCACUCUGGAUUCAGAAAUGCCUAAAUUAUUGCAGAAUGUGUUCCUGAUUUGGAAGCCCUGAAAUGUAGAGAAAUUUGUUUAAUUCCUUCAGAUUUAUUGGUUUUGUCAAGUGACAAUAUCUUGAACUCAACCCACAGAGCAUGGUAGUCAGUUAAAACAGAUUUUGAAAUUUUAUUUUGCAGUUCUGUUCAGCAAUGCUUCCAGCUCACUGUCAAGGACUGGCUGCUUCACCCUUGCCUGCUUCUUGCAGUUUUAUCUCUGGACAGACAGUUGAAACAAGCAAAACAUAAUAAUCUCAUUUGGAUCAAACUAUGAAGCUUUCAAGAAUAAAGGAAAAUACAGUCUCCUUUCUCCUUCCCCCACCAUCACUAUAACACUGAAUAAACAUAUAAGUGAUCUGCUGGCCAGAACAGAAUAUGGGGUAACACACUGGCAUUGGUUGUUGCUUCUCAGAGUCAGAGGAGGCAGUUCAUUCUGACUGAACCUCCAAUGACCUUCAAAGAUAGAUCAAGUCCAGGCAUUUGAACCAAGUUUUAACUUCAAGUGGUGAAUGCUCAGCUACCUGAUAAAUCCCACUUCUGAAGCUUUCCUGGAGCAGUGGAGCAGGCAGGCUAGAAGAUGGACAUUUGACAGGCCACAAUAGACUGCUCCUUUCCCAGAUUAUGCCAGUGUUUACAAAGGUUGGGAUUUGUUGCAUCCUCAUCAGUUUUUACAUUUGCCCAAGAAUCAGAUUCAGUUUAGCCUAGCAUUCUUCACAAAAAUAAAAGGGUGACAUAUCCUAACACAUUUGUGCAUUUGAAAAGUAGAAAAGCUGAUUUCAUGCAUAAACCCUGUCCUAAAGCUGUCUCCAAGGUGAAAUUAUACCAGUAUUGGUAUAGGAAGUGCAAAGAGCCAUGCAUUUAAAUUGCAUAUGGUGACGUGCUUGAGCACACUUUCUUAUGCUAUAAUCAGAAAAUGCUGCAAUAGCCUUAUUGUCCAGUUUUUAACUACUGAAACUUUGCUUUAAAUCUAAUCUCUUCAUGAUCAAAAGAUACCUAAAACACCUCAUUUGUGUCUUAAGUGAUAGCCAAUCUUCUUUGUAUGUAUGAGCUUCUAUCAGUAUUUUUUAAAACUGUAAUACUGGGCAAGAAGAUGUAUUACUGAAUGCUUAUUUUACAGCUGCAUUACCUGGACAAACAUAUACACAAGUCAUGCAUUAAUCAAACGUGACAUAUAAGUAUGUUCUAGCAUAAACACAUGAAUGAAUUUAUUGAAGUAUUGAUAAUUCUUUGUGAUUUUACUCAGUGACAGUGAAUAAAAGUGUGGUUUAGUAAGACUAGAAAGAAAUGUGAAAUUAUUAAAGACACACAAAGAGCCAGAAGGGGCAAUACUGCCAAAUUAGUCUUUUUCUAAGGUCUGAUGCUUUAGCCUGUAGUUAAAAUGAGCUUUGCCACUGAAAGACCAUUGUGACCGUAAUGCUUGUUCCCUAAACAGGAGUGGUGUAGCAACAACUAUUCAGUCGCAGGUUCUUAGGUUGUUUGUAUAGUAUAAAGCCAGUAGAAACCAUUGCAAUUCUCUAGCUGGACCUCCCACAUAACAUAGAUCUAAGAAUUUCAUGGAAUUAAUUCCUUCUGGAAUUAGAGUGCAUGUUUGAGAAAACAUGCUAUUCUUUAUUAUAACAUUUUCAGAGACAAAAAAUCUACAAAAACUCUGAGUAUGAUGUUUCAAUAAUUAUCAUAACAAUGAAAGAAAUGGGACUUUUAGUCUAAAUUUCUGCAGCCUUUAAUUUCAGCCACUGAGUCUUGUUGUACACUGCCAAAGGUAUAAAAAGAUUUGCCCAAACUGAAGACAUUGAUCAAUAUUCAUGUUUCUUUAUUAAAAACCUUAUACAACUUGGACAAAUUACUCUUUAAUUUUCUAUCGUGGCUUCUCUACAGAUAGAACUUAGCAUGCAGAAAUCAUAUGAAUUCACAAGGCUUCAGCUACUCAGCUCUGGUUUGCCAGGCACACCCAUCUGAUGAAUGCUAAGUAGCUAAGACACAAAAUACCUUACCUUAAAGAAAAUUUUAAUGUAACUUGCAGAAGAUUGUUUCUAUUUCAGUUUGAAAUGAAACAAACUGUGUCUAAAAAAGUAUGAACUAGCAGCAAGGAAAAAAAGUGGUGUACAUUCUCUCCCUUUAGGCAAUACUCUUGUGCAUGCAGAUCACAUGAGGCACUGUUAUCAUUGUCAUAUAAGCAUUGGGCCAGGCUAAACCUUAUAUUCUCAAAAGUAUUUGAUAUGCUUAUACUUCCAUUUGGUCUGGUCAGGGAGUAGAACUGUAUCAUUUCAGUUAUGGUCUGAACAGCACAUAGGCAUAGCUGAAGUUAGAACUGUGAUUAUGUUAGAUUAGAUUAGGCUAUCUAACUCAUUUAAAGAUCAUGUAUUGGCUUUAAAUUAAUGGGGGGGGGGGGAUGGAUAAAAAAAUUGUCAGGGAAGGAAAAGAGUUAAUGUCAAAAUCUUUUCCAACAAGAAGAUCAUUAUUAAUAGCAAGACAUCAGCGGAACCCUUAACUUCAUGGAAAUCACGGUAAGAGGUUGUAAAGAGAUUAAAGAGAUAUAGGUACAGAAGGAUGUUGCUAUUAUUUUAUCUCAUGGGGUAUGUUGCACAGUAUUAGGAGCCUGGGUAUGGAUUUGGAUGGUAGAACCACUGACAGCAUAUGACUGCAUGGAAUUGCAAGAUGGUAAGUGCAGCUCAUAGUCCCACACUGAAACCCAGUAUUCUGCUGCUAAAGAGCAAACAGAGAUGAUAAGGACCUCCUACAAAGUAGUAGACCUCUGGAAAGAUCCAGAAGUCAAUAUUUUAAAUACUGAUUUGGACAGCUGGUGUUACCAUGGUAUUCCAGAAACCUACCCAAAGCAACACUGAUAUGGACCAGAUGUAGGUGAUGUGUCAUUGAGUCCCUACUGAGAUAGAUGUGCAGUUCCUGAGGAAGGAGUUCUUCAGGUAGAAAAUACAUGGCCAUGAUUUUGAAGCAUGUAGCUACAAAUAUCAAUUAUGACAGCAGCUUGAUGUAACUGCUUGAUCCAAAUCCGAGGCAUCCUUCUUAGAAAAGGCCUGAAAUUGAGAGCCAAAAAAGCUCUUAGCACUAUGGGUUGAGAUUGAGUACAGUGUUGCAGGGAGAAAUCUCAUCUGAAUUUCUGCCACAUCCUCUAACAUCAUAUUAGCAACAUCAGAGGUUUCUGAUUAAGGGCCUCCCAUUGAGAGAAAUCCUAUCAGCUUCCUUGUUCCUAUGACAAAACCAGGCCAUGUAAAACCAUGUGUUGUUUGCUUGAAUCCCAUUACCAAACAAUGCACAUAAUUUAGCAUGUUUUUUCCUCAGGCACUUCUGCCUGAGACACCUUUAGGAUGGCCCAGAUGCAGGAGUAUCCCCACAACUGUAGGACAGUUCUGGGCAGGAAUGUCCUCCCCCCCCGUAGAAGUGGGGUCAAUGUGCAUACCAGUGUGCAAGUAAUGGGGGUCAGAGACAUAAAUGUGCAUACACAUAUGGCAGAGCAGGAUCAAGAAACCCAAGCCCAUGCUCUCAUUAGGAUCCUCUUAUCACAUUAGCCAAAGUCUGACUUGAUUGUGCUUUGUCUAUAUCUGUGCCUGUGACUUUUAUAUCCCAUGCUGUUUUAACAAGAGAUGGAAGAGAUCCAGUCAGAAAAGCCAAAGCCUUGUGAUGAGAUCUGGUUGUAUUGGGCCUUUGUAAUUAUGCUGCUUGUUUGGGAGUCAGGAUCUUUGAGUAAGGGGGCCUAAAGCAAAAUUUUUGUAAUUACUCUUGGAAUUAAUAUCACCUUCAGAUAUUAAUAUGAAUAUAUCAUCUUACUCUUCCUACUUGGCUGUAGGCUACGUUUGUUUCAUAAUUAGUCUGCCCUUCUUUCCUUGUUUUGGGAGAUAUCUAUUAAAAUUGUCAUAAGCAGUUCACAAUUUCUAGUCACAUUUUUUUGUCCAUGUUCUUCUCACAUUUGAUUUGAUUUGAUUGAUUUGUUGCCACAUUUGAUUGGUUUGUUUUAUUCUGUUCAGCCAUCAAAUUUCUUUACCAUCCCUUGCUCCCAGGCAACCACUAAUGCUUAGUUCUUCAAGUAAUUCCCCUUUACCUCCUCACCGUAAGGUCCAAGAUGGAAGCCUACAUGGCAGAAGCAACAAUCUGAAUAAAGAUAUCACCUAGGAUUUCUCGGCAAUUCACUAAUGUUUUGACAUUAGAAACAUG
Long non-coding RNA from Neopsephotus bourkii (Bourke's parrot), 4903 nucleotides. RefSeq lists it as uncharacterized. The transcript has 3 exons. NCBI's taxonomy places the organism in Eukaryota, Metazoa, Chordata, Aves, Psittaciformes, Psittacidae. The record is from RefSeq and is a predicted model, not a curated record.